RNAcentral lists this ribosomal RNA (253 nucleotides) under uncultured bacterium. RNAcentral describes it as "partial 16S ribosomal RNA". It matches the Rfam family "Bacterial small subunit ribosomal RNA", at positions 524 to 776 of the family's 1533-position model. The record is from RNAcentral.
CACGUAGGGGACGAGCGUUGUCCGGAUUUAUUGGGCGUAAAGAGCGUGUAGGCGGCCUGACAGGUCUGCUGUGAAAACUCGAGGCUCAACCUCGAGAUGUCGGCGGAAACCGUCUGGCUAGAGUCCGGAAGAGGAGAGUGGAAUUCCUGGUGUAGCGGUGAAAUGCGCAGAUAUCAGGAAGAACACCUAUGGCGAAGGCAGCUCUCUGGGACGGUACUGACGCUGAGACGCGAAAGCGUGGGGAGCGAACAGG